Nannospalax galili (Upper Galilee mountains blind mole rat) is the source of this 2138-nucleotide long non-coding RNA. RefSeq lists it as uncharacterized. NCBI's taxonomy places the organism in Eukaryota, Metazoa, Chordata, Mammalia, Rodentia, Spalacidae. The record is from RefSeq and is a predicted model, not a curated record. The transcript is spliced from 3 exons.
CGGGCAAAAGGGCGGGACGUAGGAGAGUUGCUAAGGCGGUGACUGGAAAGCCCGGCUGACGACAUGAGAUUUUGCCCUGCCAUUGCUCCUGCUAUGACACCAUGCCUCAACACAGGCCUGAAGCAAUGGAGCUAACCCAUCAUGGACUAUAACCUUUCAAACUCAACAGAAAAUGCCAUCGGAAAACUAACAAAAAUGAAUGAGUCAUGCUCUUACACGUCUAGUUCCUUUGGAUAUGAAGAGGCAAACCAAGAACAUCACAAGCCUGGAACUGAGGUAAUGGUAACAGUCAACGAUCACAGAGGAGCUGCUAAGGUGCAAUGCAGAUGGCCUUCUUUAGAGCAGUUUUGCAAGGUAAAUCAAAAGCCUUAAGAGGCACUACCUCCAUUCAGCAAUUCUACUUCUAGGAGUUUAUUCCAUGCAAAGCAAUAUACAACAUGCUCACUUAAAGAUUUUUUUUUAAUAGAAGGUAAAAGAGACUGUAUUACAUAUAUGGGCAUGUGAAUUCAUUAUGAAGGAUGGCCAUAAUGUGUAUGCAAAGAUUCAUCAACAAAGACAUUCAUGAUAAUAACUAGUGAACAACAGGGACAGAAAAAGGAAAGAAAGAAGAAAGGAAAGAGGAGGAAGGAAGAAAAUGAUCUCAGAUGUUAAAAAGAAGGAAUUAGUUGACUAAAUUGCUAUGUAGGUAUAAAAUGUGGACACUAUGUUGUAAAAUCUAUGAAGAUCAUGUGGAAAAGAAGGUACACACUUUAAACAUUAGUAGUCAAAACCUCAGAUUUGUGGCAUUCAAAGUGAAUUGUGAAUUUUGCUUUAUUUUCUUUGUGCUUUUCUGUGUUUCUCAAAUUUUCUGUAUUAAGCAUUCAUUAGUUUUGUCACAAGGAAAAACAUAUUAUAAUAAGUAAAAAUAAAUGGUUAUGUUAGUGUGAAAAAAUAUUUGCAUCUGUAUUAGUCAAGAUUCUAAAGUACAAGUGACAGAAAACCCAGCUCAACCUGUUCUAGUAGGUGGCAAGUUGUUGUUUUACAUGUUUCGGGCAUGGCUAGAUUCAGGCCUCACACAAGGAUCCUAGUAUCUCCUGUCCAUCUCGCUUCAAUAUCACUGCAUUUUCAGAGACUCCACAUUUGGUAACAGACAUGUCCACAAAAAUAUUUAUAUGCUCCCUUAGUAAAAGCAGUUGUCUUCUCAAUAAGAAUUAAAAGUCCUAUUUUCACAGAGCACCUUAAGAUCACAUAUCCCUUCCUGCUCUAAUCAAAUGGCCCCAUGUAGGGAUUUCCCUGCCUGGUUGUACCUGGGCCAUGUGCCCAUCAUGAGAACAACGAGCUGGAGUCAGCACGGAUAGCGGGGAGUCAGAUGAGGAAGACUGGCUCCCUAAGAGUCCCCAGUGCUCCAUAAAAGAGGAGGGAGGAAUACUAAGAGGCAACAACAGCAACAAAGAAACGAAAACGCCCUGACCAUAAGACUUCAGUUUCUUUAGAUGUUGACUUGUCCUGGCUGGAGGAGAAUGCACAGCUUUGAAUCACUUAGGUCUGUAGUGAUUACAAGUGACAGAAAACAGGGACGUUAUUUCUUCACGUAACUGAAAGUCUAGCAGCAGAGCUGAGCCUAAGUGAGUCUAAGGCACACAGGAUCUGGAAUCUUUAAUUGCUCCAGUGUCAACUGGCAGCUCUGGACUCUCACCCCACAGGAACAAGCUGCCCUGGAGGCACCACACAGGACAUUGCUACAGCUCACCAUGCAUGAUUGCCAGGAACCUCUGCUACUGUUCUCCAAACAAAUCCUUGUGAUUGAACCUCUUAUGAGCCCAAAUGGGAUGACUGGCUGAGCCCUAACCAAUCAAUGUGGCUUGAGGAAGAUGUGUGAUUGGCUUAAGUCAAGGAGAGUCACGCCUGACUGGGUCAAGGAGAGUCAGUCACUCCUGGGUGGUCCCACCCAGACCACCAAUGAGAAUGGAAGAGUCUCUUCCCCAGGAAAAGCCACACUGGAGAGGGAGAAGCCAGAAAACUUUUGUCAAACUCCAGAGAAGGAUGGUGAGCUUUAAAUUCUAGCAAGUGCUCCAUUUUCAAUGGGAAAUAUCUAUCAAAAGUACCUCUUGCAGGAGGGUCAACACAGAGGAAUGAUUUCCUCCAUGCUUCCAAGCAAA